This 466-nucleotide ribosomal RNA is filed under the name uncultured bacterium. Its description in RNAcentral is "partial 16S ribosomal RNA". It matches the Rfam family "Bacterial small subunit ribosomal RNA", at positions 28 to 507 of the family's 1533-position model. The record is from RNAcentral.
GAUGAACGCUGGCGGCGUGCUUAACACAUGCAAGUCGAACGAUGAAGCCCAGCUUGCUGGGUGGAUUAGUGGCGAACGGGUGAGUAACACGUGAGUAACCUGCCCUUAACUCUGGGAUAAGCCUGGGAAACUGGGUCUAAUACCGGAUAGGAGCGCCUACCGCAUGGUGGGUGAUGGAAAGAUUUAUCGGUUUUGGAUGGACUCGCGGCCUAUCAGCUUGUUGGUGAGGUAAUGGCUCACCAAGGCGACGACGGGUAGCCGGCCUGAGAGGGUGACCGGCCACACUGGGACUGAGACACGGCCCAGACUCCUACGGGAGGCAGCAGUGGGGAAUAUUGCACAAUGGGCGAAAGCCUGAUGCAGCGACGCCGCGUGAGGGAUGACGGCCUUCGGGUUGUAAACCUCUUUCAGUAGGGAAGAAGCGAAAGUGACGGUACCUGCAGAAGAAGCACCGGCUAACUACGUG